GGAGUUUGGACCGUGUCUCAGUUCCAAUGUGGGGGACCUUCCUCUCAGAACCCCUACUGAUCGAUGGCUUGGUGGGCCGUUACCCCGCCAACAACCUAAUCAGACGCAUCCCCAUCCCUUAGCGACAAGUCUUUGGUUCAAAUCAGAUGUCCUCUUCGAACAACAUAGGGUAUUAAUCCGACUUUCGCCGGGCGUAUGCCCUACUAAGGGGAAGGUUGGAUACGCGUUACUCACCCGUGCGCCGGUCGCCAGCAUCAAUAGCAAGCUAUCGAUCUGCUGCCCCUCGACUUGCAUGUGUUAAGCCUGUAGCUAGCGUUCAUCCUGAGCCAGGAUCAAACUAC
Molecule: ribosomal RNA, 341 nt
Filed under: uncultured Prevotella sp.
Lineage: Bacteria; Pseudomonadati; Bacteroidota; Bacteroidia; Bacteroidales; Prevotellaceae
Description: partial 16S ribosomal RNA
Source: RNAcentral